CGCUGAUCUGCCCUGGGUAAGUCGGGGCCUAAGGAGAGGCAGAAAUGCGUAUCCGAUGGACAGCAGGUUGAGAUUCCUGCACUAUCUUAAAACAGAACUGUGGGGACAUUUGUGGAGAGCACAGGCGCGGAACGGAAAGCCGCGUGCAAGCGAAGGAGGAGUCACAUAGGAAAAACCGUGUGGCAAUCCAAAGGCGUGAUGCGGACCGAACUAAAGUAGGGAAGUGUGUGAGCCAUGAAUCAAGAAAAGCCGCUAUUGUUUUUAAGAUACCCGUACCGUAAACCGACACAGGUGGAUGAGAAGAGAAUCCUAAGGCCGGCGGAAGAAGCAUUGUUAAGGAACUCGGCAAAAUGACCCCGUAACUUCGGGAGAAGGGGUGCCAACGAGAGUUGGCCGCAGAGAAUAGGCUCAAGCAACUGUUUAGCAAAACACAGGUCUAUGCAAAACCGUAAGGUGAGGUAUAUGGGCUGACGCCUGCCCGGUGCUGGAAGGUUAAGAGGAGAGGUUAGCGCAAGCGAAGCUUUGAAUUUAAGCCCCAGUAAACGGCGGCCGUAACAAUAACGGUCCUAAGGUAGCGAAAUUCCUUGUCGGGUAAGUUCCGACCCGCACGAAAGGCGUAAUGAUUUGAGCGCUGUCUCGACAAUGCAUCCGGUGAAAUUGAAGUACCAGUGAAGAUGCUGGUUACCCGCGCCAGGACGGAAAGACCCCAUGGAGCUUUACUCCAGUUUGGUACUGGGGUCCGGCAGUGCAUGUACAGGAUAGGUGGGAGGCUGAGAACCUGGAACGCCAGUUUCAGGGGAGCCGUUGUUGGGAUACCACCCUUGUGCUGCUGGGCUUCUAACCAGCGGCCUUUAUCAGGCCGGGGGACAAUGCCAGACGGGGAGUUUGACUGGGGCGGUCGCCUCCGAAAGGGUAUCGGAGGCGCUCAAAGGUUCCCUCAGAAUGGUCGGAAACCAUUCGAAGAGUGCAAAGGCAGAAGGGAGCUUGACUGCGACACCGACGGGUGGAGCAGGUACGAAAGUAGGACUUAGUGAUCCGGUGGUAUUAAGUGGGAAUGCCAUCGCUCAACGGAUAAAAGCUACCCCUGGAUAACAGGCUUAUCACUCCCAAGAGUUCACAUCGACGGAGUGGUUUGGCACCUCGAUGUCGGCUCAUCGCAUCCUGGGGCUGUAGUAGGUCCCAAGGGUUGGGCUGUUCGCCCAUUAAAGCGGUACGCGAGCUGGGUUCAGAACGUCGUGAGACAGUUCGGUCCCUAUCCGGCGUGGGCGUAGGAUAUUUGAGAGGAGCUGUCCUUAGUACGAGAGGACCGGGAUGGACUGACCUCUGGUGUACCGGUUGAACCGCCAGGUUCACGGCCGGGUAGCCAAGUCGGGAAGGGAUAAACGCUGAAGGCAUCUAAGCGUGAAGCCCCCCUCAAGAUGAGAUAUCCCAUUCGAAAGAAGUAAGACCCCUUGAAGACGACGAGGUAGAUAGGGCAGAGGUGGAAGUGCCGUAAGGCAUGGAGCUGACUGUUACUAAUCGGUCGAGGGCUUGACAG
This 1537-nucleotide ribosomal RNA is filed under the name metagenome. Its description in RNAcentral is "bacterial LSU rRNA". It matches the Rfam family "Bacterial large subunit ribosomal RNA", at positions 1363 to 2925 of the family's 2925-position model. The record is from RNAcentral.